RNAcentral lists this ribosomal RNA (506 nucleotides) under uncultured bacterium. RNAcentral's name for it is "bacterial SSU rRNA". It matches the Rfam family "Bacterial small subunit ribosomal RNA", at positions 8 to 507 of the family's 1533-position model. The record is from RNAcentral.
AGAGUUUGAUCAUGGCUCAGAUUGAACGCUGGCGGCAUGCCUUACACAUGCAAGUCGAACGGCAGCACGGGGGCGAACCCUGGUGGCGAGUGGCGGACGGGUGAGUAAAGCAUCGGAACGUAUCCUGGAGGUGGGGGAUAACGUAGCGAAAGUUACGCUAAUACCGCAUAUUCUGUGAGCAGGAAAGCAGGGGAUCGCAAGACCUUGCGCUCUGGGAGCGGCCGAUGUCGGAUUAGCUAGUUGGUGGGGUAAAGGCCUACCAAGGCGACGAUCCGUAGCGGGUCUGAGAGGAUGAUCCGCCACACUGGGACUGAGACACGGCCCAGACUCCUACGGGAGGCAGCAGUGGGGAAUUUUGGACAAUGGGCGCAAGCCUGAUCCAGCCAUGCCGCGUGAGUGAAGAAGGCCUUCGGGUUGUAAAGCUCUUUCGGCGGGGAAGAAAUUGCACGGGUUAAUACCCUGUGUAGAUGACGGUACCCGAAUAAGAAGCACCGGCUAACUACGUG